RNAcentral lists this ribosomal RNA (683 nucleotides) under Leotiomycetes sp. RNAcentral's name for it is "SSU rRNA". It matches the Rfam family "Eukaryotic small subunit ribosomal RNA", at positions 31 to 717 of the family's 1831-position model. Lineage: Eukaryota; Fungi; Ascomycota; Leotiomycetes. The record is from RNAcentral.
CUUGUCUCAAAGAUUAAGCCAUGCAUGUCUAAGUAUAAGCAAUCUAUACUGUGAAACUGCGAAUGGCUCAUUAAAUCAGUUAUCGUUUAUUUGAUAGUACCUUACUACUUGGAUAACCGUGGUAAUUCUAGAGCUAAUACAUGCUAAAAACCUCGACUUCGGAAGGGGUGUAUUUAUUAGAUAAAAAACCAAUGCCCUUCGGGGCUCCUUGGUGAUUCAUAAUAACUUAACGAAUCGCAUGGCCUUGCGCCGGCGAUGGUUCAUUCAAAUUUCUGCCCUAUCAACUUUCGAUGGUAGGAUAGUGGCCUACCAUGGUUUCAACGGGUAACGGGGAAUUAGGGUUCUAUUCCGGAGAGGGAGCCUGAGAAACGGCUACCACAUCCAAGGAAGGCAGCAGGCGCGCAAAUUACCCAAUCCCGACACGGGGAGGUAGUGACAAUAAAUACUGAUACAGGGCUCUUUUGGGUCUUGUAAUUGGAAUGAGUACAAUUUAAAUCCCUUAACGAGGAACAAUUGGAGGGCAAGUCUGGUGCCAGCAGCCGCGGUAAUUCCAGCUCCAAUAGCGUAUAUUAAAGUUGUUGCAGUUAAAAAGCUCGUAGUUGAACCUUGGGCCUGGCUGGCCGGUCCGCCUCCCGCGUGCCUGGUCCGGCCGGGCCUUUCCUUCUGGGGAGCCGCUGCCCUUC